AGAAUCAACGCUGGCGGCGUGCCUAACACAUGCAAGUCGAACGAGAAAGUGGAGCAAUCCAUGAGUAAAGUGGCGCACGGGUGAGUAACACGUGACUAACCUACCCUUGAGUGGGGGAUAACCUAGGGAAACCUGGGCUAAUACCGCAUAAUACCUUCGGGUCAAAGGAGCAAUUCGCUUAAGGAGGGGGUCGCGGCCGAUUAGUUAGUUGGCGGGGUAAUGGCCCACCAAGACUGUGAUCGGUAUCCGGCCUGAGAGGGGCGCACGGACACACUGGAACUGAAACACGGUCCAGACUCCUACGGGAGGCAGCAGUGGGGAAUUUGCGCAAUGGGGGAAACCCUGACGCAGCAACGCCGCGUGGAGGAUGAAGUCCCUUGGGACGUAAACUCCUUUCGAUCGGGACGAUUAUGACGGUACCGGAAGAAGAAGCCCCGGCUAACUUCGUGCCAGCAGCCGC
RNAcentral lists this ribosomal RNA (460 nucleotides) under uncultured bacterium. RNAcentral's name for it is "SSU rRNA". It matches the Rfam family "Bacterial small subunit ribosomal RNA", at positions 26 to 518 of the family's 1533-position model. The record is from RNAcentral.